RNAcentral lists this ribosomal RNA (167 nucleotides) under uncultured Bifidobacterium sp. RNAcentral's name for it is "partial 16S ribosomal RNA". It matches the Rfam family "Bacterial small subunit ribosomal RNA", at positions 351 to 526 of the family's 1533-position model. Lineage: Bacteria; Bacillati; Actinomycetota; Actinomycetes; Bifidobacteriales; Bifidobacteriaceae. The record is from RNAcentral.
GCAGUGGGGAAUAUUGCACAAUGGGCGCAAGCCUGAUGCAGCGACGCCGCGUGCGGGAUGACGGCCUUCGGGUUGUAAACCGCUUUUGACUGGGAGCAAGCCCUUCGGGGUGAGUGUACCUUUCGAAUAAUCACCGGCUAACUACGUGCCUGCAGCCGCGGUAAUAC